GACGAACGCUGGCGGCGUGCUUAACACAUGCAAGUCGAACGGGCCUGUCUUCUUUUUUGGGGGUGGGUUGAGUGGCGAACGGGUGAGUAUCACGUGAGUAACCUGCCCUUCGGUCCUGGAUAACCGCUUGAAAGGGCGGCUAAUACGGGGUGGUCCGGUUGGUCCGCAUGGGCUGGUCGGGAUAGAUUCACUGUUUUUGGUGUUUCGGCGGGGGAUGGGCUCGCGGCCUAUCAGCUUGUUGGUGGGGUGAUGGCCUACCAGGGCGGUGACGGGUAGCCGGCCUGAGAGGGUGGGCGGCCACACUGGGACUGAGAUACGGCCCAGACUCCUGCGGGAGGCAGCAGUGGGGGGUAUUGCACAAUGGGCGGAAGCCUGAUGCAGCGACGUCGCGUGAGGGAUGGAGGCCUUCGGGUUGUGAACCUCUGUUUCCGGUGGUGAAGGCCCUGUCCGUGUGGUGGGGUUGACGGUAGCCGGGGAUGAAGCGCCGGCUAACUACGUG
RNAcentral lists this ribosomal RNA (499 nucleotides) under uncultured bacterium. RNAcentral describes it as "partial 16S ribosomal RNA". It matches the Rfam family "Bacterial small subunit ribosomal RNA", at positions 28 to 507 of the family's 1533-position model. The record is from RNAcentral.